GGGAGAGUGCGAUGUUGGCAUGGUUCAAUCAAACCGAGCAAACUUAUGCAGUAGCUAGUGCAGGGAUGUUCAGUAUGGUUUGUUUGGUCUGAUUGAGCCGUGCCAAUAUCACAAGCUUGCCU
This is a non-coding RNA of Oryza brachyantha (malo sina), 122 nucleotides long. NCBI's taxonomy places the organism in Eukaryota, Viridiplantae, Streptophyta, Magnoliopsida, Poales, Poaceae. The record is from Rfam.